This is a long non-coding RNA of Bos taurus (domestic cattle), 255 nucleotides long. NCBI's taxonomy places the organism in Eukaryota, Metazoa, Chordata, Mammalia, Artiodactyla, Bovidae. The record is from Ensembl.
GGGUUCAAUCCCUGGGUUGGGAAGAUCCCCUGGAGGAGGAAAUGGCAACCUUGCUGGGAAAAUCUCAUGGACAGAGGAUCCUGCUGGGCUAUAGUUUAUAGGGUCACAAAGAUUCAGACACAACUGUAAUGACUGAGCACACACUCCUUAAAGUCAGAGCUCCUGUUCCCUUUCCUAGGAGGUAUGUAUCCAGCUUCUCCUGAGUUCUGCCUAGUAAAGGUAGAAGAUGAUAAGCUGAUGUUUGACUCUCCAGGC